This 1343-nucleotide ribosomal RNA is filed under the name uncultured bacterium. RNAcentral describes it as "16S ribosomal RNA". It matches the Rfam family "Bacterial small subunit ribosomal RNA", at positions 28 to 1378 of the family's 1533-position model. The record is from RNAcentral.
GACGAACGCUGUCGGCGUGCUUAACACAUGCAAGUCGAACGGAAAGGCCCUGCUUUUGUGGGGUGCUCGAGUGGCGAACGGGUGAGUAACACGUGAGUAACCUGCCCUUGACUUUGGGAUAACUUCAGGAAACUGGGGCUAAUACCGGAUAGGAGCUCCUGCUGCAUGGUGGGGGUUGGAAAGUUUCGGCGGUUGGGGAUGGACUCGCGGCUUAUCAGCUUGUUGGUGGGGUAGUGGCUUACCAAGGCUUUGACGGGUAGCCGGCCUGAGAGGGUGACCGGCCACAUUGGGACUGAGAUACGGCCCAGACUCCUACGGGAGGCAGCAGUGGGGAAUAUUGCACAAUGGGCGGAAGCCUGAUGCAGCAACGCCGCGUGCGGGAUGACGGCCUUCGGGUUGUAAACCGCUUUCGCCUGUGACGAAGCGUGAGUGACGGUAAUGGGUAAAGAAGCACCGGCUAACUACGUGCCAGCAGCCGCGGUGAUACGUAGGGUGCGAGCGUUGUCCGGAUUUAUUGGGCGUAAAGGGCUCGUAGGUGGUUGAUCGCGUCGGAAGUGUAAUCUUGGGGCUUAACCCUGAGCGUGCUUUCGAUGCGGGUUGACUUGAGGAAGGUAGGGGAGAAUGGAAUUCCUGGUGGAGCGGUGGAAUGCGCAGAUAUCAGGAGGAACACCAGUGGCGAAGGCGGUUCUCUGGGCCUUUCCUGACGCUGAGGAGCGAAAGCGUGGGGAGCGAACAGGCUUAGAUACCCUGGUAGUCCACGCUGUAAACGGUGGGUACUAGGUGUGGGGUCCAUUCCACGGGUUCCGUGCCGUAGCUAACGCUUUAAGUACCCCGCCUGGGGAGUACGGCCGCAAGGCUAAAACUCAAAGGAAUUGACGGGGCCCCGCACAAGCGGCGGAGCAUGCGGAUUAAUUCGAUGCAACGCGUAGAACCUUACCUGGGUUUGACAUGGAUCGGGAGUGCUCAGAGAUGGGUGUGCCUCUUUUGGGGUCGGUUCACAGGUGGUGCAUGGCUGUCGUCAGCUCGUGUCGUGAGAUGUUGGGUUAAGUCCCGCAACGAGCGCAACCCUUGUUCACUGCUGCCAGCACGUUAUGGUGGGGACUCAGUGGAGACCGCCGGGGUCAACUCGGAGGAAGGUGGGGAUGACGUCAAGUCAUCAUGCCCCUUAUGUCCAGGGCUUCACGCAUGCUACAAUGGCUGGUACAGAGAGUGGCGAGCCUGUGAGGGUGAGCGAAUCUCGGAAAGCCGGUCUCAGUUCGGAUUGGGGUCUGCAACUCGACCUCAUGAAGUCGGAGUCGCUAGUAAUCGCAGAUCAGCAACGCUGCGGUGAAUACGUUCCCGGG